UAAAAAAUUUGGCGGUAUUUUAGUCUAUUCAGAGGAACCUGUUUUAUAAUCGAUAAUCCACGAUGGACCUUACUUAAAUUUGUAUUCAGUUUAUAUACCGUCGUUAUUAGAAUAUUUUAUAAGAAUGUUAAUUUUUUAAAUUUUUUUGAUAAAAGUAUAUCAAUCAAGGUGUAGCUUAUGUUUAAGUAUAAAUGGGUUACAAUAAAUUUAUUUAUAUGAAUUUAAAUUUGAAAUUUUUAAUGAAGGGGAUUUGAUAGUAAAAUUAUAAAGAUUAUUAAUUUGAUUUUAGCUCUAAAAUAUGCCAUAUCCCCGUCACUCUUAUUAUUAAGGUAAAUAAGUCGUAACAUAGUAGAUGUACUGGAAAGUGUAUCUAGAAGCAAUUUAAAGCUUAAAUAGUAAAGUAUUUCAUUUACUUGAAAAGAUUUUUGUGCAAAUCAAUAUAAAUUGAUUAAUUUAUAUUUAUUAAUUUUUUUUUUAUGAAAUUUUUUUUAAUAAAAAUAAUUUUAAAGUUUAUUGUUUUAGUAUAUUUUAAAAAAAAAUAAUUUUAAUUAUAGUUUAAUAGUAUUGUGAAAGAAAAUU
Molecule: ribosomal RNA, 579 nt
Filed under: Pygophora nitidiventris
Lineage: Eukaryota; Metazoa; Arthropoda; Insecta; Diptera; Muscidae
Description: partial 12S ribosomal RNA
Source: RNAcentral